This 291-nucleotide ribosomal RNA is filed under the name Klebsiella pneumoniae. Its description in RNAcentral is "partial 16S ribosomal RNA". It matches the Rfam family "Bacterial small subunit ribosomal RNA", at positions 227 to 510 of the family's 1533-position model. Lineage: Bacteria; Pseudomonadati; Pseudomonadota; Gammaproteobacteria; Enterobacterales; Enterobacteriaceae. The record is from RNAcentral.
UGUGCCAGAUGGGAUUAGCUAGUAGGUGGGGUAACGGCUCACCUAGGCGACGAUCCCUAGCUGGUCUGAGAGGAUGACCAGCCACACUGGAACUGAGACACGGUCCAGACUCCUACGGGAGGCAGCAGUGGGGAAUAUUGCACAAUGGGCGCAAGCCUGAUGCAGCCAUGCCGCGUGUGUGAAGAAGGCCNUCGGGUUGUAAAGCACUUUCAGCGGGGAGGAAGGCGGUGAGGUUAAUAACCUCAUCGAUUGACGUUACCCGCAGAAGAAGCACCGGCUAACUCCGUGCCA